AGACAAAAGAUAAACAGUAAACAAAAAAAAUUAAAUUGUCUAUUCAAGUACAACAAUAAGACAACUAGCUAUAGGCAAUUUGAAUUCUCAUGCUGUGUUUCCGGUAAGUUAUAUGCACUUUACAGAGAAAGUAUCACCAAGGAAAGGACUGUUGCUUCAUCGUCUGAGCUGGGAG
Molecule: long non-coding RNA, 175 nt
Organism: Nanorana parkeri
Lineage: Eukaryota; Metazoa; Chordata; Amphibia; Anura; Dicroglossidae
Exons: 3
Source: RefSeq, a predicted model, not a curated record